GAUGAACGCUGGCGGCGUGCCUAAUACAUGCAAGUCGAGCGAACGGACGAGAAGCUUGCUUCUCUGAUGUUAGCGGCGGACGGGUGAUUAACACGUGGAUAACCUACCUAUAAGACUGGGAUAACUUCGGGAAACCGGAGCUAAUACCGGAUAAUAUUUUGAACCGCAUGGUUCAAAAGUGAAAGACGGUCUUGCUGUCACUUAUAGAUGGAUCCGCGCUGCAUUAGCUAGUUGGUAGGGUAACGGCUUACCAAGGCAACGAUGCAUAGCCGACCUGAGAGGGUGAUCGGCCACACUGGAACUGAGACACGGUCCAGACUCCUACGGGAGGCAGCAGUAGGGAAUCUUCCGCAAUGGGCGAAAGCCUGACGGAGCAACGCCGCGUGAGUGAUGAAGGUCUUCGGAUCGUAAAACUCUGUUAUUAGGGAAGAACAUAUGUGUAAGUAACUGUGCACAUCUUGACGGUACCUAAUCAGAAAGCCACGGCUAACUACGUG
This 497-nucleotide ribosomal RNA is filed under the name uncultured bacterium. RNAcentral's name for it is "partial 16S ribosomal RNA". It matches the Rfam family "Bacterial small subunit ribosomal RNA", at positions 28 to 507 of the family's 1533-position model. The record is from RNAcentral.